This 253-nucleotide ribosomal RNA is filed under the name uncultured bacterium. RNAcentral describes it as "partial 16S ribosomal RNA". It matches the Rfam family "Bacterial small subunit ribosomal RNA", at positions 524 to 776 of the family's 1533-position model. The record is from RNAcentral.
UACGUAGGGUGCGAGCGUUGUCCGGAAUUAUUGGGCGUAAAGGGCUCGUAGGCGGUUUGUCGCGUCGGGAGUGAAAACACACAGCUUAACUGUGUGCUUGCUUCCGAUACGGGCAGACUAGAGGUAUGCAGGGGAGAACGGAAUUCCUGGUGUAGCGGUGAAAUGCGCAGAUAUCAGGAGGAACACCGGUGGCGAAGGCGGUUCUCUGGGCAUUACCCGACGCUGAGGAGCGAAAGUGUGGGGAGCGAACAGG